RNAcentral lists this non-coding RNA (49 nucleotides) under Pan paniscus (pygmy chimpanzee). Lineage: Eukaryota; Metazoa; Chordata; Mammalia; Primates; Hominidae. The record is from RNAcentral.
UCAGUGCACUACAGAACUUUGUCUCUAGAGGCUGUGGUCGCCGCUGCCG